GCAAGACCCUUGAGUUUAGGUUUAAGAUUCCUGUUGCAGUCUCUUUGUUUCAGGGCCGAGGAUUCGGGGGAAAAAAAAAAAAAAAUCAAUCCACAGCAAAUAUCCAAAGAGUUGGCAGGGUGGAAGAUGAGCCUGCUAAAAGGCCAAAUACUCUCACGCUCCCUCAGAAUGGUGCUGUUACAUGUGCGUGCAGGAGUGGAUAAUACGAGGCAAAUGUACAGAUCUAUAAAACCUGACACAAGUCCAAUAUGUAGAACACAUGUUUCACAUUUUGGUUACAUAUGUUUUGGGUUUAGAUUUGAACAAAAGACAGGUCAGCCAGUUGCUACCCUUCAUUUUUUCAUUGUAAUGAACAGGAAGCUUGCCUGUCUACUCAAGAGUAACUGGUUUCCUACUCUUUCUUUGUAAGCUGUUUAUUUUCUCUAGCUCACAUCUGUUUUCAUCCUUAAACUCAUUUUAUGCUAACAGAAGAAAAAUCCAACUACCUAGUCAUCAAGAAAUCUUGAGUCACAGAAGUCAUUGGUUGAAAUAGGGCUGAAAUACAAAGUAUUUUCAUUGUAUCUAAAGAAUAGCUGAGUUACAACUUUAAUUUUUGACAGUUGUUUGCAUUUGCAAAGCUAAUAUUUAGAGAACCUUUGGAACUGCAAGAAUACUCUUAUGAAUACUUAGAUUUCACAAAAGCUAAUAAAUCACUAGAAGCUUACUGGCGAAGCUUGUUAACAAACACCAUCUCCAACUAUUGUUAUUUGAAUACAUUUUGUACUGCUGCUUCACUAAUACAUUUCCGUAAUUUUCCAUAGGACUCGGUAGGGACAGUAACAGUUCUUGUGUUACUCCAUUCUGUGCUCUGUUUUUUUUUCUGUUCAUGUGAUCAUCUUGACUUCCUGAGCAUUGUGUCUUCCCACCACUGUGUAUUUCACUGACGCCUUAAUGCCUUUGAACAGUGGCACUUGUGCUCUGGUGCCUCUUCCUGCAUGAGCUGAAGAUACAUCAGCUGUCCACUUAUGUGCUAGGGGAUACCAAUACACUACUGUCUGUUGUCAUACACAUAGGCAGCAGAAUAUGAUGUGUAUCAGCCCCUCAGCUGGGUUGAUGUAUAAACAAAGACAUUUAAGCUACUGGUGGAUUCUGGCUUCUCCUAAAUGACUGUGGUGUGUGAGGUGUAGGCACAAGUUCAUACCUGGUAGUCCUGCUGAAGAGAAAGCAAUUGCCCACAAUAGAAUAACAUAGAAAGAUUAACUAAUUUUUUAGGAGCAUAAAGCAGGAUUCACUAAAGCGGGUAAUUCAUAGUCUUCUAUUUAAUUGCAAAAAUUUUUAUGUUAUUUAUUAAAUCAGGGAGAACCAUACUUUGAAUUAGGAAGAGCUUGUGCAAACAGAAGGCAGCAGAACUGAGAUGAGAACAGUCACUACCUAACUUAGAGCCAGUUUCUUGUUCAUAUGAGGAGUUGCUCAGUCAAAUUGGAAGACAGUCGGUGGAGGAGAAACAUCUGGGUCGUUGAAUGCAUGGGAAAUCUUACAUAGCAGUGGGAGUACGUGGAAGAAGACAGAAAGACAGAGAUCAUCAAAUGUGCACAGGCCAAUAACAAGGCAAAUAAAAUACACAGUGUCAGUGAGUCACAAA
Molecule: long non-coding RNA, 1621 nt
Organism: Corapipo altera (White-ruffed manakin)
Lineage: Eukaryota; Metazoa; Chordata; Aves; Passeriformes; Pipridae
Exons: 2
Source: RefSeq, a predicted model, not a curated record